RNAcentral lists this long non-coding RNA (858 nucleotides) under Homalodisca vitripennis (glassy-winged sharpshooter). RNAcentral's name for it is "uncharacterized LOC124353920, transcript variant X1". Lineage: Eukaryota; Metazoa; Arthropoda; Insecta; Hemiptera; Cicadellidae. The record is from RNAcentral.
GGUAUUUUGCUGCUUGUGUUUGUCAAAGUUAUGAAAGUUAUUUAAAUUGUAUAACGUUUGAAAGAUGCCAAGGGGUAGAGCAAACAUCGAAAAUAAAAUAAGGCUAAGUGGUUUGUGAGCUAAUGAGAGUAAACCUCCCAAAGGAAUAAACGAAGAAGUAAGCUCAGUACUCACGGCAGAUUUUGUUUCGAGUUGAACUUUAAUAGUGUAAAGUGACCUAGGGGAGUUUAUCGUGUUCUGCGUGUAGUUAUGACAGGAAGGCACAUUAUACUACACGUUCAACCAGCCUAGACGGGAAGGUGAAGCUCCUCGGGCAUUCAUCGUUGCCUCCACGCUUUGCUCCCAAUCUUACGAGAAUGACCUUGUAUGAUCAAUGCCUGACCACUGUUUUUGGAGUUGGCGUCCUCACUGGUCCAGAGACAGCAGCGCUGCACAAAAACUGUGAACCCUGAAAUUUCCGAUAUACGAGACUCGGAGAUACUCAUAUUAAUAUAAUACACAAGGUAUAUUAAUGACGCCUAUGCGUACAUGUUCUUGUUGUGUUAAACUUUAUAUAAUCCAGACUGCACAGAAAAAUAUAUAUCUAUAAAAUUCCACACGUUUCAAGAACGUUAAUCUUUCAGUUAUUAUUGUUUUGUGUGUACAAGAAAACCAGACAAUAAAUUCGUCCCUACAGGUGUUUAUACAAAUGCCGUCACGCUAUUGCAGUAAAUACUGUAGCCUAGUAUCUUCCAAAAGACGCGCAUCAAAAUAAAACUUAUAUUACACCACACAAACAAAGUCAAAUAAAACCAAUGUUCAAGUUUUAUUUUACAAUGCUUUGUAACAUUUUAACCAAUAAAAUUGUUAUUCAACACA